Molecule: ribosomal RNA, 1848 nt
Filed under: Triticum aestivum (bread wheat)
Lineage: Eukaryota; Viridiplantae; Streptophyta; Magnoliopsida; Poales; Poaceae
Description: partial small subunit ribosomal RNA
Source: RNAcentral
AUGGCCCCGAAGAAGUCCAUCACCAAAGAAGAAGCGGAGAGAAUAUACAUGCUAUGUUGGAUCAGCUACGUGCCAGUUUCGGGUGAUAUCCGCAGGAUACCGCCGAGACGGAUUGUUCUAUACCCAGAUAUCUUUCAGACAGUGUGGGGUUGGGAUCGGCUCCUUCCACACGACAUUGAGUGCGAGGAGUUUUAUUUUGAUUACCUCCGCCAGUAUUACGAACGCAAUCGCCUGGACUACGUCGCGGCUGCCGACGGCCAGUCAAAGCCUCAGGACUGGCCGCUCAAAGCCCCACCAGAGGGUGUUCCCAAAUGCAUCCCGAAUGGGAAGCAUCCUCUCGCUGCUGCUGCCAAACACUGCCUGAAGAUGGAGGUGCGGUUCAUGUCAGUGUGGAAGGAUCGACCCAUACACAACGUCAAAGAACUGAGUGAAAAGAUCCAGGAGCGUGUCAGUCGCCUCAUCAUCCUGGGGCGAGAAUUCUCUGAACCUGCGGCCGCCAGCUUGGUGUGUAUCGCUAACGAGGCCUCUCUGGCUCGUGAGCUGCUGAGACGCGGGGCUAAAGCCAACGACAAGGAGAUCAACUUAUGCAACUGCAUCCGCCACUGUGCGCUGAGUCUUAUGUUCAUGUCAGGACCGCAUUCUGAGGCCUCCGCUGCUGCUAUGGUGGGCGUUGCCAAGGAGGCCAGGAAGAUCUGUGAGUGGAUGAAGAGUACGAAAGAGUGUUGUGUUUUUCGAUCUUACUCCAGAAUCCAUGAGUUGUGCCUUUGUGAUGAAAUCCGGGUUGCAACCUUUGAUGUUUUGAAGCACAUACUGUCGAAUUCUACAGGGGGCAAAGAGCCAUUUGUGCUUAUGGAUUUUGCAAUUAAGAGGAACAGGAGAAAGCACCAAAAUACCAUGGAAGGAACUUCAGAUGAAUCUUUAUUACAUGAACCACGUCAUGAAGGGAAGAGCGUCCUUGGCCUGGAUGACAACAAUGGGGAAUUCGAUGCUCGGAUGAUUGCUCCUCAAAUGGAUCUUCUUAGAGAACAGACCAACGGUCUAGCAAAUUCGAGAAGGGAAAGUGAUAAUUCUGCAGUUGAAAGAGCCCAUCACCUGAAACCAAUUCUUGGUAUCCGAGAACACCUGUCAGAAAAAGAAAACCAGGUUCUUGCACCAGAGGAGCAGGAACAAUGUUAUGAAGGGAAGAACCUUGAGCUGGGUGACAACAAUGGGAAAUUGGAUGCUCUGAUGAUUGAUCAUGAAACAGAUCUUCUUAGAGAACAGAAGACCAAGGGUCUAGCAAAUUCCAGAAGGGAAAGUGAUAAUUCUGAAGUUGAAAGAGCCCAUCACAUUAAACCAGUUCUUGGUAUCCGAGAACACCUGUCAGAAAAAGACAACCAGGGUGAGAAAGGUAUAGUUGGCAAGCAAUCUGUGGAGCAGGUAUCUAGUACUCAGAGGAAAGCUUCAUAUUGUACCAUAUCAACUACCCAGAACCACUUGAACAGUAUUUCAGUUGGGUACAAGCCUAAUAUUGUGAAUCAGGCUGACAUGCUUACACCGGACUGUGGUCAGCGCAUACCAAAGCACCCUGCCCUUCUAGACAAGAGAUCUCUUCUUGCAUGCAUUGCUCGUGCAGUUUCUGCUAGUCACAAUAACCAAACCAAGAUUAGUUCAACUCUGCCAAAUAGGCUUGGAAAAAUGUUGGCCCCUCUUCAUUGGCGUGACUAUCGGAAGGAUUAUGGGAAACUAGAUGAUUUUUUGGCUGAGCAUCAAGAGGUUUAUUUCUCUAAUAAUAGCAAUUUAGUCGCUCUAUGUACAAUGUACGAUACCUGUUACGGAUAUACCUAUCACUACUGCAGCUCUUUGUGA